RNAcentral lists this ribosomal RNA (301 nucleotides) under uncultured bacterium. RNAcentral describes it as "partial 16S ribosomal RNA". It matches the Rfam family "Bacterial small subunit ribosomal RNA", at positions 509 to 807 of the family's 1533-position model. The record is from RNAcentral.
CAGCCGCCACGGGAAUACGGAGGGUGCAAGCGUUAAUCGGAAUUACUGGGCGUAAAGCGCACGCAGGCGGUCUGACAAGUCAGAUGUGAAAUCCCCGGGCUUAAUUUGGGAACUGCAUUUGAAACUGUCAGGCUGGAGUCUUGUAGAGGGGGGUGGAAUUCCAGGUGUAGCGGUGAAAUGCGUAGAGAUCUGGAGGAAUACCGGUGGCGAAGGCGGCCCCCUGGACAAAGACUGACGCUCAGGUGCGAAAGCGUGGGGAGCAAACAGGAUUAGAUACCCGCGUAGUCCCUGUCUCUUAUAC